AUGCUGUGGCAGAGCUUCGACUACCCGACCGACACGAUGCUGCCGGGCAUGAAGAUGGUGAUCAAGCACGGUGCGCGUGCCGGUGAGCGCCUGGUGUCAUGGAAGGGCCCUGGCGACCCCUCGCCGGGGAACUUCUCCUACGGCAGCGACCUGGCCACGUUCCCGCAGAUAUUCCUCUGGGAUGGCACGCGCCCGGUGUACCGUAGCACGCCGUGGACGGGGUACAGGGUGAAGAGCGAGUACCAAUUCCAGACGACCAACACCAGCUCCAUCAUCAUCUACCUAGCCGUCGUCAGCGACGACGACGAGAGCUACACAGUCUACACCGUCUCAGACGGCGCUUGGCUCACCAGGUUCGUGCUGACCUACUCCGGCGAGCUUCAAAUCCAGAGCUGGAACGCCAGCUCGUCAGCCUGGGCCGUCCUCGGGCAGUGGCCGCAUUACCAGUGCGACCUCUACGGCUAUUGUGGCCCCAACGGGUACUGUGACGCACUGCCCGUGCCGGCAUGCAGGUGCCUCAACGGCUUUGAGCCGGCAAGAGCAUAUGAGUGGACCACCGGGAGGUUCUCGGAGGGGUGCCGUCGGAAGGAGGCGCUGAGUGGGUGCAGUGCCGACGGUGACGGUUUCUUGGCGUUGCCGGGAAUGAAACCGCCGGAUGGCUUUGCGCUUGUGGCGAACAGGACGCUGGAGGGGUGCGCGGCGGAGUGCCGCCGCAACUGCUCGUGCGUGGCGUACGCUUACGCCAACUUGACCAGCGGCGCAUCUAGUGUAGACAUGACGAGGUGCUUAGUUUGGGCUGGGGAGUUAGUUGACGUCGGGAAGCUGGGCGCAAGCCCCGCCAGCGACAAGCUCUAUCUCCGGCUUGCAGGAUUGGAUGCUCCAGCUGUAAAAGGACAAAGAGCAAUGCAAUGA
Molecule: ribosomal RNA, 912 nt
Filed under: Triticum aestivum (bread wheat)
Lineage: Eukaryota; Viridiplantae; Streptophyta; Magnoliopsida; Poales; Poaceae
Description: partial small subunit ribosomal RNA
Source: RNAcentral